RNAcentral lists this ribosomal RNA (199 nucleotides) under uncultured bacterium. Its description in RNAcentral is "partial 16S ribosomal RNA". It matches the Rfam family "Bacterial small subunit ribosomal RNA", at positions 328 to 539 of the family's 1533-position model. The record is from RNAcentral.
ACGCUCGACACCUACGUGAGGCAGCAGUUGGGAAUAUUGGACAAUGGAGGAAACUCUGAUCCAGUGACGCCGCGUGAAGGAAGAAGGUCUUCGGAUUGUAAACUUAUUUUGUCAGGGAAGAAAAAAUGACUGUACCUGAAGAAAAGCACCGGCUAACUACGUGCCAGCAGCCGCGGUAAUCUGAGCGGGCUGGCAAGGC